AUUGAACGCUGGCGGCAUGCCUUACACAUGCAAGUCGAACGCGAAAGGGGGGCAACUCCUGAGUAGAGUGGCGCACGGGUGAGUAAUGCAUCGGAACGUGUCCUGUAGCGGGGGAUAACCUAGCGAAAGCUAGGCUAAUACCGCAUACGUCCUACGGGAGAAAGUGGGGGAUCGUAAGACCUCACACUAUAGGAGCGGCCGAUGCCGGAUUAGCUAGUUGGUGGGGUAAACGCCUACCAAGGCGACGAUCCGUAGCUGGUCUGAGAGGAUGAUCAGCCACACUGGGACUGAGACGCGGCCCAGACUCCUACGGGAGUCAGCAGUGGGGAAUUUUGGACAAUGGGGGAAACCCUGAGCCAGCCAUGCCGCGUGAGUGAAGAAGGCCUUCGGGUUGUAAAGCUCUUUCGGCCGGGACGAAAUCGCACGCGUGAAUAUCGCGUGUGGAUGACGGUACCGGAAGAAGAAGGACCGGCUAACUACGUGCCAGCAGCCGCGGUAA
This 499-nucleotide ribosomal RNA is filed under the name uncultured bacterium. Its description in RNAcentral is "partial 16S ribosomal RNA". It matches the Rfam family "Bacterial small subunit ribosomal RNA", at positions 29 to 523 of the family's 1533-position model. The record is from RNAcentral.